This 18-nucleotide transfer RNA is filed under the name Salacia oblonga. Its description in RNAcentral is "partial tRNA-His". The record is from RNAcentral. Lineage: Eukaryota; Viridiplantae; Streptophyta; Magnoliopsida; Celastrales; Celastraceae.
AUAAAUAAGAAGGAUAAG